RNAcentral lists this ribosomal RNA (433 nucleotides) under uncultured bacterium. RNAcentral describes it as "partial 16S ribosomal RNA". It matches the Rfam family "Bacterial small subunit ribosomal RNA", at positions 29 to 507 of the family's 1533-position model. The record is from RNAcentral.
AACGAACGCUGGCGGCAUGCCUAACACAUGCAAGUCGAACGAGAACAUCGGGAGUAUUCGCGCACGGGGUCGUAACGCGUGGGAACCUGCACUUGUGGUUGGAAUAACUCCCCGAAUGGGGUGCUUACAGCGGAUAAUGGCUUCUAACCAACGAUUUAUUGCCCUUGGAGGGUCCCUCGUUGAAUUCGCUUGUGGGGAGGGUAAAAGCCGACCAAGGGGACGAUCCGUAGCUGGUUUGUGAGGCUGAUCAGCCACUCUGAGACUAGGACCCGGCCCAGAAUCCUCCGCGAGGCAGCAGUGGGUAAUAUUGGACCGUGGGCGAAAGCCUGAUCCAGCAAUGACGCGUGAGUGAUGAAGGCAUUAAGGUUGUAAAGCUCUUUUAACCGGGAUGAUAAUGACGGUACCGGGAGAAUAAGCUCCGGCUAACUCCGUG